This 2333-nucleotide long non-coding RNA is filed under the name Monodelphis domestica (gray short-tailed opossum). RNAcentral's name for it is "lncRNA (ENSMODG00000036503.1)". Lineage: Eukaryota; Metazoa; Chordata; Mammalia; Didelphimorphia; Didelphidae. The record is from RNAcentral.
AAGGGGCCUUAGCGCUUGUCCAGGUCACCCCCACACCCCGCCUUUUACAGCCGAGGAAACAGGCCCCGAGAUGUCAAGAGACUCGCCUGAGGUCACACAGGCGCUCAGGCGAGCCUCUCGCUCCAUGGAGGAGGGCCACGGAAGUCAUGGCGGGAUCACGGGCUGAGUGCGUGGAGCCACGAGUGGUUAGACUGAGAGAGGGAUAAGGAAGAGCCAUGCAGAAACAUGAGCCAUAUUUUCAGAGUCUUGGAACGCAGAGCAUUAAUGGUUGCCUAAAGAGUUGCCAAUGGGCCAAAGGGGAGUUCAGGUGUUUUCGGGCUUCGAGCGGCCCCUGGCGGCCAUGGCGAAUAUUGCAGCUGGUUCAAAGGAGGAUCUGUGCAGGGGCAGAUGGACCGGACCGUCCAUCUGGUUUCAGAUCAUAGAAAUUCUUCAUUCAUCCACUUAGUGUUUAUUCUGUGGAUUGUCGGGACGAACUCUUCUGAGGGAAUGUAAAACCCAUUUAGAAGGCUCUACAGUGUUCUGGGAGCAUGUGGAGAAGAGCCCAGAGAUGGAAAGAACUGGGAAUGUCAUUCUGGGGAGAAGACUUGGGGAGACAUUUUGGUUGGUUGGUUUGUAUGAGUAAAUGGGUAUCGUAUAGGUAGAGGUAAUUCCAACCUUCUCCAGCUUAGGCGCUAUUGGACUAUUUAUUUUUCCUUUUAUUUUAUUUUUUUAAAGUUAAUUAAUUUAUUUAGAAUAUUUUUUUCCAUGGUUACACUGUUGGACUAUUUCAAAAGUAUAUGAACAGAAGCAGCUAGGUGGCUUAGUAGAUUGAGAGCCAGGUCUAGAACCCAGAGAGGUCCUGAAUUCAAAUGUGGAUUCAGACAUUUCUUCAUUUCUUUUGCUUUGGAACCAAUACAAAGUAUUGAUUCUAAUACAGAAGAUAAGAGUUUAUUUAAAAAGAAAAGAAAGGAAGGAAGGAAGGAAGGAAGGAAGGAAGGAAGGAAGGAAGGAAGGAAGGAAGGAAGAAAGGAAGGAAGGAAGGAAGAAAGGAAGGAAGGAAGGAAGGAAGGGAGGGAGGGAGGGAGGGAGGGAGGAAGGGAGGGAGGAAGAAUGAGAGAGAGAGAGAAAGGAAGGAGAAAGAAAGAAAGAAAGAAAGAAAGAGGAAGGGAGAGAUAAAAAGAGAGAAAGGAAGGAAGGAAGAAAAUCAAAGGAAGAAAGGAGAAAGAAAGAGAAAGAGAGGAAGGAAGAAAGGAGAAAGGAAGGAAGGAAGGAAGGAAGGAAGGAAGGAAGGAAGGAAGGAAGGAAGGAAGGAAGGAAGGAAGGAAUGGAAAAGAGAGAGACCAAGGAUGAACAAUAACAACCUUUCCAAUCUCCUCAUGGGUCUCUCCAGUCCCUUCCUUCCUAUCCAGUACUCAUGCACAUUAGUCAGGACAGUUCACCUUCUGUCCCUAGACUUGUGCCCUGGCUGCUCCCCAUGGCUGGAAUUCAUGUUCCCCUACUUCUGCCUUUCCUGCAAGUCUCAUCUCCACCAUCACCUUCAGCAGGAGACUUUUCUUCAUCCCUGUCCACUGCAGUCCAAACACUCACCUGUCGCUACUGACAAAGGCUCCCUAGUAUCUUGUCUAUCAUAAAGAAGAUGCUGGAAGCGGGGGACGUCCUGGGGCAUUCUUGUUUGGCGCUGAGAUGGAGAGAGGAGACAAGAGGCGGAUGGGGAUGUUGAGUCUUGGCAUUCAUGUGGCUGUGGAAGAGAACAGAGAAGUAUGGAAGGACUCUGGGAGCCCGCUGGAGGGGAAGCUCUCCUCUUCUUAGCUAGGUGGGGUUACCGGUUUGUUUUGCUACCACUGACAGAAGCUAAGCAGCUACUUCUCAGGCCAGCUCCUGGCCACUGAUUUUGGGAACGGAGAUUUUGCCUGCAGCCCAAGAAAGGUUUCCUCACGGCUGUUCUGGUAGGAGAAUGAAGAAGACCUUGUGGGCUGGCUAAGAGCUCCCAGCUGACCGAGUGGCUGCUGGGAUGGACCUGUGUUCUCUCUGCAAGGAGCAGGGGCAGAGGCUGGAGAGCUGGAAGGGUCCAUAGUGCAAAGCAGCCCAAAAGGAAUCAGUGCAAAGGCAGCCAAGUCUGCAACGAGGAAAGAGCCAGAGAAGCUCCCCUGAACUCUGGGGCAGGUGGGCAUCCUCAGGCUCCAGUCCUUCCCCCGCCCAUCCCUGACAGGGAUCCCUGCCCAGGAUCACACAGCCAUGAGGGGUCUGAUGAAAACUUGAACCCAGAUUUUCCGGAAAGGCCAGCCGUCUGCCCUCUCUGCCUCUCUGGUAAGCUCACUGUAUGUGUUGGAAUAAACAACAGGAGGCAAGAAGCA